This 491-nucleotide ribosomal RNA is filed under the name uncultured bacterium. RNAcentral describes it as "partial 16S ribosomal RNA". It matches the Rfam family "Bacterial small subunit ribosomal RNA", at positions 29 to 506 of the family's 1533-position model. The record is from RNAcentral.
AGUGAACGCUGGCGGUAGGCCUAACACAUGCAAGUCGAACGGCAGCACAGUAAGAGCUUGCUCUUACGGGUGGCGAGUGGCGGACGGGUGAGGAAUACAUCGGAAUCUACUUUUUCGUGGGGGAUAACGUAGGGAAACUUACGCUAAUACCGCAUACGACCUACGGGUGAAAGCAGGGGAUCUUCGGACCUUGCGCGAUUGAAUGAGCCGAUGUCGGAUUAGCUAGUUGGCGGGGUAAAGGCCCACCAAGGCGACGAUCCGUAGCUGGUCUGAGAGGAUGGUCAGCCACAGUGGAACUGAGCCACGGCCCAGGCACCUACGGGAGGCAGCAGUGGGGAAUAUUGGACAAUGGGCGCAAGCCUGAUCCAGCCAUACCGCGUGGGUGAAGAAGGCCUUCGGGUUGUAAAGCCCUUUUGUUGGGAAAGAAAAGCAGCAGGUUAAUACCCCGCUGUUCUGACGGUACCCAAAGAAUAAGCACCGGCUAACUUCGU